AUUAUACUCCCUCCGUUCGGAAUUACUCGUCCAAGAAAUGAAUGUAUCUAGAUGAAUUUUAGUUGUAGAUGCAUCCAUUUUUGUGACAAGUAAUUCCGAACGGAGGGAGUAGGAU
Molecule: non-coding RNA, 115 nt
Organism: Triticum aestivum (bread wheat)
Lineage: Eukaryota; Viridiplantae; Streptophyta; Magnoliopsida; Poales; Poaceae
Source: Rfam